This 423-nucleotide ribosomal RNA is filed under the name uncultured bacterium. RNAcentral's name for it is "bacterial SSU rRNA". It matches the Rfam family "Bacterial small subunit ribosomal RNA", at positions 356 to 772 of the family's 1533-position model. The record is from RNAcentral.
GGGGAAUAUUGGACAAUGGGCGCAAGCCUGAUCCAGCCACGCCGCGUGAGUGAUGAAGGCCUUCGGGUCGUAAAGCUCUGUGGGGAGAGACGAACCGCCGGUGGUUAAUACCCAUCGGCAUGACGGUAUCUCCUUAGCAAGCACCGGCUAACUUCGUGCCAGCAGCCGCGGUAAUACGAAGGGUGCAAACGUUGCUCGAAAUCAUUGGGCGUAAAGCGCACGUAGGCGGCUCCGCAAGUCGGAUGUGAAAUCCCUCGGCUCAACCGAGGACGUGCAUCCGAAACUGCAGAGCUUGAGUAUGGAAGAGGGUCGCGGAAUCCCCGGUGUAGAGGUGAAAUUCGUAGAUAUCGGGGGGAACACCAGUGGCGAAGGCGGCGAUCUGGGAAGAUACUGACGCUGAGGUGCGAAAGCGUGGGGAGCAAA